This 506-nucleotide long non-coding RNA is filed under the name Nicotiana benthamiana. RNAcentral's name for it is "long non-coding RNA (NBEN_LNC025144)". Lineage: Eukaryota; Viridiplantae; Streptophyta; Magnoliopsida; Solanales; Solanaceae. The record is from RNAcentral.
UUCCUUCUAUGUCUGUUAAAUACAAAGCACCAUUGGGCAACACUCUUGUCACAACGAAUGGCCCCUGCCAGUUCGGGGCGAAGUUCCCUUUAGCCUCAACAUGAUGAGGAAGGAUACGUUUCAAUACCAUCUGGACCACUUCAAAUUUCCAAGGACGCACCUUUUUGUUAUAUGCUCGUGCCAUUCUCUUCUUAUUCAAUUGACCAUGACAUAUUGAAGCCAAUCUUUUCUCAUCAAUCAAACUCAACCGCUCAAGCCAGGUUUUAACCCACUCAUCGUCACCAAUUUCAGCUUCUGCAACGAUCCGAAGGGAAGGAAUCUCAACUUCCGCGGGUAUAACUGCCUCAGUUCCAUAUACCAGCAGAUAAGGAGUUGCGCCUACUGAAGUGCGGACAGUUGUGCGAUAACCUAGUAAUACAAAGGCAGCUUUUCAUGUCACUGCCUAGAACCUUGAACCAUCUUACGAAGUAUCUUUUUUAUGUUCUUAUUGGAAGCCUCAACAGCUC